UUAAAGCCAAACUACUCAAAACUAUACAAGCAUGAGAAACAAAGGAGGCAAAAAGGAAUUAAUUUAAGUUCUUAGUAUUUUAUUGUUAGAUUUUGUUGACACGAGUUUUUCGGCUUGUCACUGUGCCCAGGUACCCACAUCACAGACCUUCACCUUUGAUAACGUCAGCCACUUAAAAUAAGGGUGAGUUGGCCGACUUGGUAAGCAAGAGAGGGUAAGGAAGAAUAUAAUGAGAGAAGGAAACGAAGUAGAUGAAGAAGGAGAAGAAAAAGAAUAAGAAGACUCUUGACCUUGGAGGAAGAGAAGAGAGGAGUGAGCUAGGAGAGGAGGAAAAAGGGAAAAAAAACAUGAUGAAGAGAGAGAGAGAGAGAGAGAGAGAGAGAGAGAAAGUCGGGAGAGGGUGAAAGGAGAAAAACAAGAAGAGGAUGAGGUAGAGAAAAAAGGAGAGGGACAGAAAUAGGGUGUUCUUAUAAGAGGGGUAAAAAGGAGUGGAGCUAACACGUAGAACUACCCUAUCGGCUUAGAAGACCGACAUGAGGGAGCAAGAAAGAGAGAGUAUAAGUAAGCAGAUUGAGUAAGGUUGAGGAAACCAUGGCUAGUCAAUCAGAGAUAAAGUGCAACCGACUACUCCUAUCAAUUUUAGUAAUGAAAAGACAAGCAAAGUCUUCUAAUUUUAAUUUUUUAGUUAAAAAAUUUAUUUAUAGAAUAACUCUUAAAACUGAAAAUUUUAUUGAAAUCUUAAACAAAAUUAUUAGCAUAAUUUUAAUUUUACAAAGACGGGAAGAUAAAAUUUUUUUAAUAAAAAGUUAUUUUUAUUAACAUAUAUAAGACUACUUUAUAAAAUCUUUUUAUAUGUUUUAGUUAUAAUUUUAUAAGUUUAAAUUAUUAAUAAUUAUAUAUAUUAAUUGUCUAAAAUUUUAAACUCUUGAUCCUAAACUUGGUGUGUUUGGUUCAAAGUCGUAAUUGGUAUUGAAAUCGGAACGAGAAUAAGCUGAAAACGGAAUCGGAAUAUUCAUUACUUCAUUCUGUUUGGUUCGCCAUCUGAAUCGGAAUCGGAAUAAACCAUGUCCAUUGUCGUUAUUUGGUUUAGAUAGAUAUCAGAAACGUAAUCAAAUUAAUAUACCAAUUUUAUCUUUAUAAUAUAUUAGUUUAAAUUCAAACUGAAAAUUAAAUAUUAGAUAUUUACGUCAAAAUUUUAAAUAUAUAUUUUUUAAAAAUUUAAAAUAAAAAUUGAACUGAUAAUUCAAAUUAUAAAACUAAAUUUCGAGUUAUUCAAAUUCAAGCUUAAAAUUAUAAUUUAAAUUUCAAUUUGAAUCGAUAAAUUUAAUUUAAAGUUUAAAUAAAAUUUGUACGAACUUUAGAUUUUAAAUUAUAUUUAAAUUUAAAUUUAAAUAUAUAAAUUAGAUUCGAAAUACUUGAUUGAAUUUUAAUUUAUAAUUUAAUUUCAAAUUAAAAUUAAAAUUUAUAAAUAUAAUUUUUAAAAUAACAAGCUUAAAAAAGUUAAAUUUAAUCAGACAAAUUCAUUCCGUCUGAAUUUAAUUUUUAAUCCGGCUUCUUAGACUGGAUUGAAAAAGGAAUAAUUGGAGAAUUCUUAGUUAUUUGAAAAAAAGAAUCAAAAUAAAAAUUUCACGUAUCAAACAAAAUUAGUUAAUUUGGAUUCGGCAAAAAUUCAGUACGGAUAUAAUACGUAUAAAAUUCGUUUUCUAAUUUUUAAAUUCGUUGAAAAAUUCGGCUUAAAAAACGAAUUCGGUAUAAAAUAUGAAAUAUAAGAUAUAAAAUAUAGGGUUAUUUGCAUACACGUCCCUGCAAAUAUAGUGAAUUGCAGAAAUAUCCCUGCAAAACGGAAACUCCAUAAAUUAUUCCUGCAAAAGUCUAAAGUUAUGCAGAUAUGUCCCUGCCGUUAAGGACUGUUAGAAAAUUUUCGUUAACCAUGGUUAAAAUACUUAACCAUGGUUAAUUAUAAUGUGAAUUUACGGUUCUACCCUUCUUCUUUUUCCUCCUCUUCUUCUUCCUCCUCUUCUUCUUCCCUUUUCUUCGUCGCCGGCGAGGGCGGCAGCGGCAGCGACGGCGACGACGACGGCGGCGACUGCGAACUCUCUCUCUUUCUUUUCCUCUUUCUUCCUCUCCCUCUUCCCUUUUCUCCCUUCUUCUUCCUCUCCCUCUUCCUCUUCCCUCUUCUUCGUCGUCGGCGAGGGAGGAGAUACGGCGGCGGCGGGCAGCGACGAACCCUUUCCCUCUUCAUCUUUCUCUUCCCUCUUCCUCUCCCUCUUCCUCUCCUUCUUCCUCUUCCCUUUUUUUCUUCCUCUCAUUCUUUCUCUUCCCUCUUCUUCGUCGUCGGCGAGGGCGGCGGCCGCGGCGGCAGUGACAGCGGCGGCCGCGGCUCUUCUUCUUCCUCUCUCUCUUUCUUUUCCUCUUCCUCUUCCUCUUCCCUCUUCUUCGUCGUCGGCGAGGGAGGAGAUACGGCGGCGGCGGGCAGCGACGAACCCUUUCCCUCUUCAUCUUUCUCUUCCCUUUUCCUCUCCCUCUUCCUCUCCUUCUUCCUCUUCCCUUUUUUUCUUCCUCUCAUUCUUUCUCUUCCCUCUUCUUCGUCGCCGGCGAGCUCGACCCGCGCCGUCGCCGCCAUCCGCUCUGGCGGCCCGAAGAGGAAGAGGAAGAGAAAGAGAAGGGGAAGAUGAUACUUUUGGAGGGAUAUAUUUGUGAGGGCAAAAUGAUCAUUUCACAAGAAAAUUGUUAAAAAAUAAACAGUUUUCUAACAGAUGUAAAUCAGAGGGACAUAUCUGCAUAAAUUAGGACUUUUGCAGGGACAACUUAUGGAGUUUCCGUUUUGUAGGGAUAUUUCCGCAAUCCACUAUGUUUGCAGGGACGUGUAUGCAAAUAAUCCUAAAAUAUAAAAUAAUUUAUAUUUAAAAAUAAAAUUAUAAUUUUUUUAUUCAUAUUUUCAAUAAUUCGGUAAUAAUUCGUGAAUAAUUCAUGAAUUAUUCGCGAAUAAUUCGGCUGGCUCAAAAAUUCACGAAUAAUUUUCUUUUUUUCGAAAAAAUUCGUAAACGGACCGUUUAAUUCGGAUUUUCAAUAAUUCGUGAAUAAUUUACGAAUUUACUGACUAGGGUAUCAAAUACGUACCAGUAGACUCACUCAUUCUGAUUUCAAUUCUAAAGUAAAAAAGUGGGCGAAUCAAGCAUGUCCUAAAUCCUAUAUACCAGUUAUCCGCCGUGUUGGGCGGGCGACAACCGCCAAAGUGCAAGAGGGCAGCUGAGUUUGCUUAGAGCCCGUGCUCCCGACGCUGCCGCGUGGCUAUUUCUUACUCAACCCAAGCCGUAAUAUACCUUCCCUCUCAAACACUGCCCGGUUUUAACCCGUUUAAUCAAGAAAGCACCGGCCGGUCGACGGCCCAAUAAAUACCGCUCAAAGCAAUCACGCACUUCUCCUCUGGCCAUCUUAUCAUCGGGAGAUGCAAUUGGAGGUCGGCCCUAGCUCUCGCUCUCCCUCGCGGGAGGGGAGGGAGGAGGGGGCGAUCGGAGGGGACGAGACCCCGACCUCCUCCACCUCCUCCUCGGCGGCGGCGGCGGAGGACGCGAAUCUCGAGAGGCCGCUCCUCCUCAGGACUCCGCAGCGCGCCGCCUCCGACGGAGCGGCCGGCGCCGCCGCCGCGGCGGGGGGCGGCGGCGUGCGGAGGAGGGCGGUGAGCGAGCCAUGCUUGCCGGCGCGCGCCGAACGCAGCCGCUCCUUCGGCCGCGACGUCGGCCACGCCGCCGCCGAGACCUUCCUCCUCACCCGGCUCGCCCUCAUCCUCCUCCGCUAUCUAGGGUAACAGUCCUCCUCCUCCUCCUCCUCCUGCCCCUCUUGUAGACCCUAAUCACCAUGCCUUGUUCUGUUUCUUGUGCUUUUUUUUUUUUUCUGUGAUUUUAGGUUGGGUUAGGGUUAGUUGCAAAUCUACUCGGUGAAAUAUGGCCUUCAUCUCCGUUUCGUUUUGAGCCGGCACUAUUUAUUCCCUGAAUUUUGUUGCAUACAAUAAGAAUUACAUUCAUUCUGCUGGGUUAAAAUCAGGACAGUAAGCGAAUAAUUCUCACAUCCGAUAGCUAAGGGCUUGGUGUCAUAUAUAUAUAUAUAUAUAUAUACACACACACACACACACACACACGAGUGAAGGCCCGCGCUUUGCGGCGGGAAAUUUACGAAGCAAAAUCGAAAUAAAUAAUUAAAUAUUUAAAAUUUAAAUUUUUUAUUAUUCAAAAUUUACAUUUAAAUUUAGAAUAUAAAAUGUUGAAGCUUAAAAUUUAAAUUUUAAUAUAUCAAAUUGAAAUUUCAAUAUUUGGAAUUUAAUAUUUGAAUUUUUUAAAUUCAAUUUAUAAUUUAAUAUAUAUUUAAAAUAUUAAAAAUUUAAAAUUUAAAUUUAGAGCUUAAAAUUUAAAAAUUUUAUAUUUUAUCUUAAUUACACUAAAACUAAAUUUUAAAAGUUUACAAUUUUUAAUUUUAAGUUUCAGUUUCUAAAUUUUAAAUAUUAGAUUUUAUAUGGAAUUUUGCUGAAUUCUAAAUGUUUUUAUGUAAUUCUAACCUUUCAUAAUUCUAAAUUCUGAAACAUUGUUGAUGCAAUUCCGAAUUUUGAAUUCUAUUCUUUUAUAUGCAUCAAAUAUCCGGAAUUCAGUUAGGUAAUUCGAAAUUCCAUAAAAAAAAUAUAGGAAAAUAAAUAGACUUUGCUCAAACUCACUUAGCCAGUUUAUUUCUUAUUUUCGGGUUUCGGCCAAAUCUAAGGAUAACUGAGUUGUUGAGAGUAAGGAGUUAGGCAGGAUGGUCAUUGAUAGGCUACACCGCUACCAUAGUUCUGAAUUUGCUGGAGAGGUGUUUGUGUAUGAUGCGGAAAAAAGGCUGUUCACAUUAGGGUCUCUCCCACAAAACAAUUUCAAGAAUUCAAAAUUUAUAUUCAGAAUUCUAAACUUAGAAUCUACAAUUCAUAAUACAAAUUCAUAUAAAAUGUUGCUUAUGACAAUCAUAUUAAAACAAAAGGAACAAUUGCACAAAAGAGGGCCAGAUAAAGUCUCGAAAGUUAAGAUAUGUAGUAUCCGAAGCAAACCAUAUAAUUGAAGACAACAACAAAUUAUAUUAGAUGGUAAAACAAAUUAGGACUAUAAAAACUUUAUGAGAAGCUAUAUUUUUCUAUCUGAGAUACAUUGCAAAAGCAAAUAAGGCUGUUUUGACAGUAAGCUGAGCAAAAAUUAAUGCUUCCAUGGUUGCAUACUUUGUAAUAAAAGAUCGCCACCGCAAAGUUGGCCCAGGUGUGCUGCAAAUAACGAUGGAUUUUAUGAAGUGGACUGUCAUACAUGGCGAGGGUUACGUCAAAUAGGAAGACAAAAUUUUAGGGAAGAGACCUCACCAUCCUAAAUUGAGCACCAAAUUAUCAAAAAAAAAAAAAAACCUAAAAUAUCAACGCAAAUUAGGUUUAAUUUUAGUGAAAAUUGGGGAUUUGAGGGUCAUACGAUGGGAUUGAGCGAUUUGAAGGAGGAGGAUGCCGAUUGCUGGGGCGAAGAGGUCGAGCUUCGCGGCGGAGCUCGCUAUGGCGAUCCAUAGGAAUAACUGGGAGCAAGAAGUGGCAGGAAGAGCAUGUAAGAAAUCUCAAGUGUAACACACAUGCACUAAUUUUUAAGAAAUUAGAAUACGAAAAAGGCAAACCUUAGAAAGUAUCAAAACAUCAGUAAAUAGUAAGCAAGCUUUGUACUCUCUAUUAUUAUUCAAACUAUGAGCAAGUGGCGGAGAAAAAAAUUCUAACUCAUAAAAAAGGAAGGAAAAGAAGAUUGCAAAAUACUAUUGAUAAAAAGCUUUGAAAGCAAAGAUAGGUAGUGAACAGAAACAUAUGUUAAAUAAUAGAAAGUAGAUAGAUGCAGACAACAUUAGUAAGCAAAAAUUAUAAAAAAUACUUGUAUCAAAUAUAUAAGAAUAACAAUAACAAUAAUAAUAAUAAUAGCCUUUUCAUAGAAGGAGAACGUUAUUCACUGGUAAGCGACAGUAAGCACAAUCCCUACUAAAGCAAAACGUANAGAGAUGAAAAGUUCUAUACUAAAUCAGCAUGUGGAAACCAAACCAAACAGUAUACAUGAAUGAGUAUAGAAAUGAAUAAAUAUAGGCUGCUCAGACUCCCCUAGCCAUCGAACAUUAUUAAAUUAGCACCGAAGCCUUCUUGAUUAAUAGUUUUGACUGAGUUAGAGUCCAUAUGCAUGUCGAAACCAUCCUUAGUACAAAUGAGAGCAACUGGUUGCCCACGAAGUAGGCCAUCCAAAGUUUCCUCAUCACCAAUCAAAAAGGCUUGGAACCCUAUCAAUUAUCGCAAUUAUUUCAACCAUCUGAGAUUCAAGGGGAAGGUCAUCAUAGCAUGGGACAAAAGAAGGGAAAGCAAAGACCCGAAAAAUAGAAGGGUCAAAUUCUAGUGACACUCAAGUCAUCACAGCAUGGCUAAAAAAGAGGCAUAAGCAAAAUAUCCGAAAAGCGGAGCAAAGAACCCACAGCCAGCAGGAAAGCGCAAGAGACCUGCAGAAACAAAAAAAAAAAGGACUUGCGGAUUCCAGAGCAUACCACUGCUAGCUUCCAAAAAAAAGGGCUGAAGGAAAAGUAAGGAGAGAGUUUUACCUGGACAAAAUCUCAAAACAAUGAUGUAAAAUAACCAAGUAUUCAAAGGAUACUGGAGCAAAAAGAAAUCAAAUGAAUGUAAAAGCAAACAAAAACACAGAGUUUCAACAAAUCAAUGACAGAAAUGCGGCUUUGGAAAAUCCCAAAAGCGAAAAAAAACAUGGAACAAAUAUUUGCAAAGGACAGAAGAGCGAAAAGGAAUAAGGCAAAGGAAUAAAGCAAUGACAAACAUGCAGUUUCCAAAAUUCCAAAUAGUGAAAAAAGUUAACCGAAAUCUUGAAGUUCCUUAGUAAAUCAGGCUGUGGAAAUGACACCAAAGUGCAUACACCGGCUUGAAGUAGCUUCGUCACAUUCGGGAGCCAUUAAACUUUUGUUGACAUGUAAUCCUUCUGCGUUUGAUUAUAUGGGUUUCAUAUGCCUAGCCUAGAGGCUAUAUCAAGGAAGUGGAGAACAAAUAUUGUAAAUCUUAUAAAAUUCUUGAACCCAAGUUUUCUCUUUUGGAUAUUUUGAUAGAUAUUCACCAUUGUGCCUCAAAGUUAAGUUCUGAAUCAGGAAAACCCAAAGGAGAAAGUAUUACACAUGUAAUUCCUACUUUAGAUUUCUCACAAAGAUCUUUAAAUGGUCCUCCAUACAUGGCUGAAAUUUGUAGAAAGAAUUUAACUGUAAAAGGGAAGAAGAAGAUACAAACUGAAGUUCUCCAAGACAAUUGUAGUAGUUUGAUGUAGAUUCCACAGCCACAAAUCGAACCUGGUGAAAUGGGACCUCGGUAUGAUGUCAUUGAUAUUACAAAAGGCAAAGAAACAGUUAAAACAUCUAUCAAAAGCGAACUAAACACUAAGCAAUACCCGCCAUUGGGUGAAGAAAGAGUUCGAUAAAAAGCGGAUUAAACAUUGAGCAAUACCCACCAUUGUUCCACUACAUACCGCAAAAUCUUCCUCAUCAAAAUGCCUAUAUCAAUCUAUCAAUGGUUCAGAUUGGAGAUGAAGAUUGAUGUGCUAACUGCUUUGACAAUUGCUUAGAAUCCAAACUUCUUUGUGCAUGUGCAAAGGUAACCGACAGCGAGUUUGCAUAUACGAAAGAUGGAUUGCUCAAUAAGCAUUUUCUGGAUUCAUGCAUUCUAAUGCGCUGCAAAUAAAUAAAUAUACUCUGCUCAGACUCCCCUGGCUAUCGAACAAUAUUAUAUUAGUGCCGAAACCUUCGUGCUUAGUAGUGCUUAUUGAGCUGGAACCCAUAUGCACAACAAAAUUAUUCCGAGAACAAAUGAGAGCAACCGGUUGCCUACGAAGUAGGCCAUCCAAAAGUACCCUCACUACCAGGCAAAAAGGAUUGGGUCUCUGUCAAUUACCGCAACCAUUUGAUAUUUAAAGGGAAAGCCAUCAUAGAAGAGGUUUUAAUGGAGGAAUUGAAGCAUUAAAAAAAAAGGAACACCAACAUCUCUUUCAAUAGAGCAGGAUAAAACUUUACUUUAAGCAACUUGGCAAACUUUAAUGUAGAUUUUUGGCAUUCUAAUUUUGUCUGACUUUGUUUUGAUUUUAUCAUAAUGUGAUUCUGCCGUCGUCUAGGUUGUAGGAAGAUUCAAGAAUUGUGAUCCCUGACUACAGAUUUUAAAAAUUUAAAUUAAAAUAACUACCAGUAAGAUCUACAAUCCAAAAUAAAUUACAAAUAUAGCAUUGCUCACUGUAAAUGUCGGUAAAAAUGUAUGGAACUUACCUGAAACAUGAGCCAUUUCGCGAAGCGCCGUGCGAUCGCCUUGGCAUUUCGUCGAACAGGGUGCGAGCACUAGGGAGAGGGUAUCAUUUAAGUCACAGCAUACACAGAAUAAGUGGGAAAUGUGCAUCAUAUAUGCUUCUUUCUCUAAAAGCACACAUUCGGCAUUUCGUCGAACAGGGUGCGAGCGCUAGGGAGAGGUUAUCAUUUAAGUCACAGCAUACACAGAAUAAUUGGGAAAUGUGCAUCAUAUAUGCUUCUCUCUAAAAGCACACAUCUAAAUACCUGACUUGAAGUAACAAAUACUGAUUUGUAGAACUCCGCUUAUUAGAGCAAUGCGGAGAACUUUACCCCCUUUUUUGGCUAUCAACAACUUCACUGCUCAGUGCUUGGUUUUCGCUUUGUGUUUCGGUUUCUUCAUCAUCAUCACAGUGCAAUGCGCAUGGUGAGUGCGAUAGUCGCUCACGCUUCCCAAAACAGCCCUGUGAAGAAGACACAUGUAAUGCAGGUUAGUGCCGACACCGUUCUACUGUUGUAAUCUUCAUUGGGUGAUCAUCAUGAUCGUAUCUAUAAAAAACAUCUAUAAAGAAUGUUUGCCAAAUACCCUAAUGCAAAUCAGGCCAUAAUUCCGAAAUUCAAACUUUUAUAUGCACCAAGCACUUUACUGUGAUUCUGAAUCAUGCCUUCUAAUUUCUGAAUUUAGAAUUCAGCUAGAGAAUUUAGAAUUUAGCCAGAGAAUUGAGAAUUCAAGUAGGCAAUCCGGAAUUCCACAAAGAAUUGAAGGGAAACAAAUAUUCCUUGCUUAGAUUCUCCAUGAAAUCGAACAUCAUUAGUUUGGAACCGAAGUCUCAUUAGUUAGUAGUGCUAGUUGUAUAAGAAUUGCAAGCAUUUCAGUACAAAUAAGAGGGACUGGUUGCCUAUAGAAUAGGCCAUCCAAAGUACCCAAUAAGAAACGAAGGAGGGUUGCGCCCCUCUCAAUUCCCACAAUUAUUUGAUAUUCAAGGAGGAGAUCAUCAUAGCAUGGGAAUUCAGGAUUAAGCUUUGCAAUUUGGAAUUCUAUGAAGAAUAUAAGGAAAAUAAAUAUCCUUUGUCCAGAGUUCGUUUUCUUAAUUCAGAACCCAGAUUUCAGAACUUGGAAAGCAAACUCAUAUGUAUUGUUUCAUAUAAAAAGGAAGCUGCUGCAAAAUUAAGAAACCUUUUUCUUUACCUACUCUUACUCUGAUAGUGCAAUUCAGAUUCUACAAACCUGAAUUAGGAACACAGGAUCCUGCUAGGCAAUUGGGAAUUCAGAUGGGCAAUACAGAGAAGGCAGUUCUAUGGAAUUUCCAGGCAGCAGAAUCCAACAAGAUAAUUUAGAAUUCAGCUAGCCAACUUAGAUUCCAAAUACAUGCAGCAUAUAGUAAGGGUGAAAGAUCGGUAGUUCGCAUGUUACAAAAUCUCAGCAAGAUAAUUUAGAAUUCAGCUAGACCACUUAGAUUCCAAAUAAAUGCAGCAUACAGUCAGGGUGAAAGAUCGGCACUUCGCAUGUUAUAAAAUCUCGAGUCAGAAUUAAACUGCAAUGCUUACAGCCAAAAGCAAAGCACGUAAAUUCUCAGACGAAAAUGGGACAAAAAUGAUUGACUCGUUAAAUUCGAACCUUGCCAACACGAAGCAAAUCGAUGCGUAUGGAAAGCAUGCAAGACUUGACAGAGGAGGUAUCUAUUUACUAUGCAAUUUUACAAAACUGAGGUAAUCGAUACCAAUGCAAUUAAUCAAAAUCCCACACAAAAAUCUUAAGAGGGGAAAAAAGAUAGAAAACAAAUCCAGUGAGGAUAAAUUUUUUUUACUAAACAGCUGAAGAAGUCACACAAAACGUUAAAAAAGCUCAACUUGAUAAUCGGAGAUAAAAUUGUCCAUUAAGGAUAUAGGAAGCUUAACGAAACAGGAAGGAAAUUUGCAUAAGUGCUAAAUACGGAUUGUGCUAAAUACGGAUUGAGAAUAUGCAUAAGCGUGCUCAACAGGAAGGAAACCUGAAGCUUUUGCAACUAACAAAUAAUCACAAAUAGUGCUAAAUACGGAUUGUGAAUUGUACAUUUUUAAUUUUUCACGUUUUAAGCCUCGAAUUGUUAAACCUGAAAGGUUGCUGAUGUAAACCACAAUUCAGAAUUCGAAAUUCAGAAUUCGAAUUUCUGAUCCACAAUUUUUCAUGUGUAAUUCUAACAUGUGAGAAGCUAGAGAAAUGAAUUCUAGAAUACUGCUGUCAGAAUUCAGUAUUCUGAAUUCGUACCUUGUGUAUGGGGCAAAAAUCUUUGUGCGAUUCAAACAACGUAUCUGAACUCGCUACUGUUAUACACAGCAAACAGUUUGAUGCAAUUCUAAAUUCGAAAACCUCAAUAUUGAAUGGAGCAUUUAGUUAGAUAAGGGAGAAUUCAGGUAGACAAUUUAGAAUUCAAGCAGACAAUAAAGAAUUCCAUCACGAUCAGACAUAUAUAUGUAAUGGAAUAACAUUUACCACCAUCCCCCGUGCCGCACCCCACCUCUCCAAUGCCCGCGAAGCGUCCUGCGAUCACCUCGGCAUUUCGUGGAACAGGGCGCGAGCGCUAGGGAGAGGGCGCGGGGGCCUGCGAGCUCCUCCGAUCGAGAUCGGGAAGAGGUCGGACAGAGAUAAGAGGCGGGAUCAGGGAGAGAGAGAUCUCCAGGAGCUGCAGAUCUAGAAUGGGGCGGUGCGCGAGGGGCGCGAGCGGGCGCCGGGCGAGGGUUGCACGCACAUGGCAGCGUGGGCGGGCCCGCCCGCACCGCGGAUCUGCAGGACCUCCGCGCCCUGUGGGGCAACAGGGAAAGGAGGCGGGGAUAGGGGCGCGGGAGGCAUAGUGCGACAACUGUCCGCAACUUGGGGGCUUUGCGGGUCCAGAGGGGACAUGAAUCGGGGGAGAGAAAGAGGGAAUCGAAGGCGCGUGAGAGAGAACGGAAGAGACGGGGCGGACGACACGUCGGCCACAGAUUGCCAGGUGCGCCCGACCCGCACCUGACCCGCGCUCGUGCCAGCCGCUGCCGCCCGCCCGCUGCGCCCGCCCGCGCUGGGAAACCACCGAAGCCCCCUGCAAAACGCGGGGAGGCUUCAAAGGGGCGCGAGAGAGGAGGGGCGCUGAGGAGGCGACACGUAGGGCACAGGAGAACUCAAGAAUUAUUAUUUCUAUAUAUAUAUAUAUAUAUAUAUAUAUAUAUAUAUGUAUGUAGAGCUACUAUGCUAUUGGAAGUAUAGAGAAUCUGAUACUUCCAUCUUUUUGACCAUUGGAUCAAAAAUUAUACGGUUGAGAUGAUUGCGGUCCCCCCAGGGUUAGAGUAGUAUCCCUAAGGUUGAGUGGUCCCCACAGGGUAAUAGUAUUAAUACAAAUGUUAGAAAUGAUUAAAGGGGUUGAUGCAAGAGCCAAAAAAUCGGAAGCACCAGAUCUUCUAUGCUUCCAAUAGCAUAGUAGCUCUACUCUUUCUCUCUCUAUAUAUAUAUAGAAUAUAGAACUAGGCUGGAAUACUAUCACUACACCAAGCUAUUGGUGCUAUUAAUUUUUUAACCCUUGGAUUGAGAAAUAUGUGCUUAGGAUGAUGUGGGCCCCCUAGGGUUGAGUGAGUGGUUGGUUGAAUAGUAUAAUCUAACGGUUAAAAAUAAUCAAAGGGCUAAAUCUAAUGGUGAAAAACUCGAUAGCACCAAAUCCUUGGUGCUAUCGAUAGUAUCCCAGCCGGACUUUCUCUCUCUCUCUCUCUCUCUAUAUAUAUAUAUAUAUAUAGUUGAGCUAGAAUACUAUCGUUAGCAAAUAGGCUCCGUUGCUACCCAUUUGUUUUCGAUAAUGAAGCAUCCAAAUCGACGAUCGGCACAGUUGAACAUGAUCUAUACCGCUUAAAAUAUCUAGAAAUCAAAUUCCAAAUCUUUUCGACAUCAUUGACCUAAUAAUCAAAAGGUCCCAAAAUUUAUAAUUUUAAUGGUCGAUAUGAGGCGUUUUAAUGUUUAAUGGUGUAAAGAUAUUCAAAUCAAUUGAAUUUUGGUCAGAAGAUGCUACUUUUAAGGGAACUGUUGACUUGCUAGAAUUCGACUGCGGAUAUUGAAUGCCUUCUGUUAUUAUUCUUGGAACUUCUAAUCUUUGUAAUAAGUGUACCAAUAAUUUUUCUAUAUUAUUUUCCUUUCUUUUCUUUUCUUUAUUUUUAUUUUCUUCUUGCCUUUUGUAUCAAUUGGCUGUUGUGAAGAGGAUGGAGUCGCAGUUCCUUUGUUCUGUCCUUGUCUUUGUUGCCCUGUCUGUAACGCGGCUAAUAUAUCUGCUGGUAAUAGUGUUGCAAUGUGUUCUUGAACUGUCUCAUCCUGCUUGAUGAAAGGUGUCUUUGGCUGUUGGUGGCUGUAUGAUCCUUCUUCUAUCUGUCUUGUUUGGAUAGGCUCUUGAAUAGGUUUUUGUUUGAUAUCAGGUCGGAUUAUUUGUGAGGGUAAUAAUGGUGGGUAAGCUAGAGGUAUUAUUUGUGUUGUAGUAGGUUGUAUUUGUGGUGGAGGUAAAUAGGGUAGUGGUUGUGGUGGAGGUAAUUGUUGAGGUACUGUUGGUUUAUUAUGUAAUGUCAAAGCAGCUAAUUGGGUUUUUAAGGCUUUAAUUUGGUUUUGUAGCUUUUGUUUUUCUAUCUCAAGACCAAGACAUUGGAUCUGGCGCCGGCAUAUCAGAUGAUAGUGUUAUGAUGCAUAAUUUAGAUACUAUAGGGUAAAAAAAAAAAUCCAUGCUGUCAAAAAAAGGCAAAAUUGGGAUCCCUGCUGUGAGAAAACCCUUGUGGCUCACAGACAAAAAUUAGGGGAAAUUAUUAAACUAAAAACUAAAAACCAUUUCUCAAAGUACAUUCUCCAAAUUUCUCCAAGGAAAACGACAAAAGCACUAGUACUUUCUAGAAAGCAUCUACAGGACAACAUCUGCUUUUGCAAAAGAAAGAGCAUAUUCCACAAGACAUCUACUUUAAAAAAGAAGACAAUACAGAAAUGACAACUCAGAAGGCUCUCCUUUACACCUAGCAUCUCAGAGGCCUUUUUACAACCAGCAACUUCUCAGCACUUCCAAACCCUUCCUUCCACCACUAUAAAUAGAAAGCUUCUCCACCAACACAAGGCAUAUAGAGAAAUCGAGAGUGAGAACAAGAGAGCCCUUAAGAGCAAUAGUUUAUGGCUUUUUUUGUUUCUUUCCUUUCUCUGUAAAUUUUCCUAUAUCUUCUUAGUGUACAAAGUUUGAGAGUCUUGUAAACAAGUUCCUCCUCCUUUCGGGCCUUCUCGAAAGGGAAACCUUCUUGUAUCUAUAAUCAUGUAAGUCUUUACAUUUCUUGUUUAAUAUAAUUCUUGUUGUUCUUCUAUCUAUUAUAUUUUCCUUGCAUCAUGUAGGCCUAUUAUCUUGAACCGACCCUAGGUUAUGCUAGGAUUUCUCUUUGAAUGAAUACUUCAUCUUGAUCAGCUAUAAGACAUAUACGUUUGGUAGAUUUCGUAAGAGCUUGAAUAUCUAUUUAGGUCAUCAUGCCAACACUAAGGCGCUCGACUGUUAGACGAUCUGAAAGCUCUGAAAACCGUAUGCUAGGAGGGUCUUGUGCAUCAUCAGUCUGGCUCAAGUGGUAUUCAUCUAACCCAAAGUCCAUUAGUAUAGCCAACCCUAGGAGCAAGCUUUUAGGUCACUUGUAGAAGAUGGACCAAACAGUUAGUUGGUUUUACAUAACAAGUCAUGCUACCAGUUACCAAACAUUAGCAUAUAGAUUUCCAUAAAGGAAAAUGUCGAGCAAGAAUAAGUCGAAUCUCUUUCUUUUGUUCCAUUGCCAAACAAAAAGCCAAAGCCUAGCUUAUUCCUUUUAUUAAGCUUCCGGUGCUUUCUUGUAGGACACUGGAUACUGUUUCCAAGAUAAUCAAUAGAGUUGCAACUUGCAACCAAGGUUUAAAGUGUCGUGGCAUGUGGGCAUGCCGUUAUGUCCCUGGCAUGGUACGGCACACCGACACGUGGCACGCUUGCGUGCCGAUAGAUACGCAUGACCUCCUAUUGGCACGCUUUGGCACGUACUUAUUUCAGUUUUUUGGUUCUAAUAAACUCUCAUAAUGUUAUUUUGAAAAAUUUAAAUAAAUAAUUAUGAAUAUUUACUAUGUAUACCUUACUAUACUCAUCAAUUAACAUGCAUGUAAACUUUUUGUAAGUAAAGUACAACUAUACCUGAUGUAGAAUAGAAAUUAAAAUACAAUAAUAAAAUUCACGAGUACAAUAAUUAUUUAAAUUUACAUCUUUAUAUAGAGAUGACUGCUUAAUUCCACAUAGAUCGUCCAGCUUGAUCAUAUGACAUAUUGUCAUUUACAGAUACAAGAUUUAUUUGACAAUGUUGAUAUAAGUAUUGCUGGUAUUAUGAGAAAGUCAUAUAUUCCCGAUAUUACAUCCAUAUUUUUUGUUCUUUUUUUUAAAAAAAAAAAUAUCCGAUCAAAAUUUGUUUAGGAGAUUGAUUUUUGUUCCCCUGAUUCACCGAAAGCUUUGCGGUGUGACAAAUUUUGACAAAAUAUUUUGCGAAAAAAAAUGGAUGUCUGUGGUGGAAGUGGAGGGCUCAUGCCGCGAGACAGAGGAGGGGUCCGAGACCCCCCGUACCGUGGCCCCUUCUUGGGGGCAUGGUACGACAUGCCCCUGUGCCGUACAGCACGGGCGGCACUUAAUUCCUUGUUUGUACCAGGAAAAAUAUAAUGAGAUAAAGAAUUAUAAGAAAUAAUUAAAUUAAAAUUCAAAGACAUAUUUCUAUAGAUAUCAUAGAAGGGAGUACCAAGUAGAGAUAUUACAACCUGUUUUUCCUUACCCCUUAUAUCUUUUUCCUUUUAUAGCGUUUCCUUUCUCUUUAUCUUUUCCGUAUAUUUCCUACUUUCCCUAAUCUUUAAAAUCCAUAAAAAAAAGUGUCUAUAUUAUUCAUAAAACUCUUUUUUCUUUAUAUGUUACCCCAAUACCCCCUCUCUCUCUUGUUUAUAAACUGUAUAUAUAUUUCUCCUUCAACCUACACCCUUUGUCUCUUAUUUUCUGUGUUUUCUUCUCUUUUAAACUCUUCUCUUUCUAUUUCUGUCUCUUUUUUCCCUCCUCUCUAACAUAUAUAUAAAAAAAGGAACCCCUCAAAUCUGCUCGCCACUC
Molecule: long non-coding RNA, 15446 nt
Filed under: Ananas comosus (pineapple)
Lineage: Eukaryota; Viridiplantae; Streptophyta; Magnoliopsida; Poales; Bromeliaceae
Description: long non-coding RNA (ACOM_LNC019512)
Source: RNAcentral